Molecule: ribosomal RNA, 429 nt
Filed under: Bacteroidota bacterium
Lineage: Bacteria; Pseudomonadati; Bacteroidota
Description: Bacteroidetes bacterium partial 16S ribosomal RNA
Rfam family: Bacterial small subunit ribosomal RNA
Source: RNAcentral
UAGGGAAUCUUCCGCAAUGGACGCAAGUCUGACGGAGCAACGCCGCGUGAGUGAAGAAGGAUUUCGGUUCGUAAAACUCUGUUGUUAGAGAAGAACAGCGCAUAGAGUAACUGUUAUGCGUGGGACGGUAGCUAACCAGAAAGCCACGGCUAACUACGUGCCAGCAGCCGGGGUAAUAAGUAGGUGGAAAGCGUUGUACGGAUUUAUUGGGCGUAAAGCGAGCGCAGGCGGUCAAUUAAGUCUGAUGUGAAAGCCCCCGGCUCAACCGGGGAGGGUCAUUGGAAACUGGUUGACUUGAGUGCAGAAGAGGAGAGUGGAAUUCCAUGUGUAGCGGUUAAAUGCGUAGAUAUAUGGAGGAACACCAGUGGCGAAGGCGACUCUCUGGUCUGUAACUGACGCGGAGGCUCGAAAGCGUGGGUAGCAAACAGG